UCUCCCUCCGAUGCCGCCCCCUCCGUUUCUCUCUAACCGCAGGCUCUCCCUGGCCCUGCGGCUCCUCGGUCCUUCUUCCGGGCCCAGUGUGGUCAGGCACCUGGGUUGGGCUCGCUCAGGCUCUGUCCAGAUCCGCCAGGGAAGCAGCGGAGAGGCCGGGAAGUGGCGCGCUGCUGGAAUACACGCCUUCGGCGCAUUCUCGCUGGAUAGUUCCCUGGGCAGCACUGGGCUGGACAGGACAAAAUAGCGACGUCGUUGAUGGGAUUUGCCUGUUCUUGACAUUUCAUAUUAAUGGAAUCAUACAACUUUGGUCUUCUGUGAUUGGCUUCUACUACCUAAUAUGAUGUUUUCAAAGAUCAUCCAUAUUAUAGCAAUUAAAAAUUCAGAUUGAGUUGUCUUAAAAGUCACAAACCUAUACCCACUCACCCACGUGGGAACACAGUGGUUGUGGAGGUGGAGACAAGAAGAACCAGAAUCAGAGUUCAAAUAUGCCAGAAACUCUGGCCUCUAAAUUCUUAUGUAAGUCAGAGAGUAACUGACCAACAGCUGUGAGACACUGGGGACUUGAGCUUUCACUGUAAACUUUGGCACAGAUCACUUCUCUGAAGACUGGAUCCAACAAGCAUUAAUGAAUACAAGAAUGUGCUAUGGUAGCAUGGUGAAUUCCAGACAAACCCAAGAAUUCCAUACAGCUGGGGAAAGAGGCCCAACUCCCGAGAUGGUCUUAGAAGCGGAACUGAUAGAUCUCAGGGAAAGUGAUGAAAUAGUUGACCUCACCUGUGAAUCCCUAGAACCUACAGUGAUUGACCUAACUAGCCAUGACUCUGUUGUGAUUACUGAAGAAAGGAGGUGGCCAGAGGGAAAUACAAGGUCACUCCAAGGCCAAAUUGGCAGCUCUGUAGUGAGCAGGGAUAGGGAGGAGUUGAUGAGAAACAGAGAUGUGUAUGUGACCAACAGUACCUGCCAUAAUGCCCUGGAAGAAGAAGCUCUAAGUUGCACACUACCUGGUUAUCCAGUGUCGAAUUUGUAUGGAUGGGUACUCUGAGAUUGAACUGAGCAGGCGACACAUUUACUCUACAGAAUGUGGCCACAUCUUCUGUAGUCGGUGCCUCUGCCCUUCCCUUAAAUAUAAUAAAAAUUGCCCAGUUUGUUUGAAAAAACUCAACUGCCAUCAGUACCACCACAUUUAUAUAUGAGGUGUGCUGUGUCAUUCAGGACAGACAGAACGCUUGGCAUGGAAACAUGUCCUUGUGAAGAAACAUGGGCUGUUGGCACCUAACACACUGUACUCAAAAAGGCUGUUUUAAAAAUUGUUCGCUGGAGUAUAUAACAAACUCUUUCAUUUCUCACACACUAUGAGACUGCUUUUUGAUUCCUUUAGUUUCAUGCUUCAGGGCUGGACUUUGGUUGUCCUCAAAGCAAUUCUUCCUUUUUCCCUCAUAGUAAUCAAUUUUUAAUUGAUCACACAGGGGCAUUUUGGAUCAUGUAAACAAGGGCAACAUCCUAGAGAUAGUGGAGCAAGUGGAUGGAAGGAACCCUGGGAGACUGACAACUUUGCAAGUCAGAACCACCAUACAAAUUUGGACUUUUACUUGAGAGAUAAAUAAACAUUGUUUUUGUUUAAGCAACA
Long non-coding RNA from Ailuropoda melanoleuca (giant panda), 1630 nucleotides. RefSeq lists it as uncharacterized. The record is from RefSeq and is a predicted model, not a curated record. Lineage: Eukaryota; Metazoa; Chordata; Mammalia; Carnivora; Ursidae. The transcript has 3 exons.